RNAcentral lists this transfer RNA (90 nucleotides) under Planobispora longispora. RNAcentral describes it as "tRNA-Ser". Lineage: Bacteria; Bacillati; Actinomycetota; Actinomycetes; Streptosporangiales; Streptosporangiaceae. The record is from RNAcentral.
GGAAGGCGUCCGGUCAGGUCGAGGAGCACCGUUGGAAGCGGUGUACGCGGCGGUGACGUCGCGGCCGGGUUCGAAUCCCGGGCCUUCCGC